UUAAUUUUUUUAUUAUUAUUAUUUGCUUUUGUUUUUUAGCUCUCGCACUCUACUUUGAUCGCGACGAGAUAAGGGAUCAUGAUUGCUGCGAAAUUUCAUAGAUCUCACCGUUGUUGACAAACACUUAACUACAACAGAUCGAAUACCAACCUUCUUAACCUUUUAGUUUCACGGAGAGCGAGAAUUUGUGCUUUUACGGCGCCAAGUUGAGCGAUACUGGAUUCUGGAUGAGCUCCGGUGAUCAAAUGGGCCAAUUGAAAUAGGUUCUUGGAUUUUUUGGGGAAGCAAUGGCUUUCUUUUGUUGGGAAUUGGAGAAACUUUGAAUUUGUUGCAGAGAAUUUUUAGCUGAGUUUGGGGAUGAGUUCUGAUGUGGGUAGCGGAUUGUGAAGUUGGUUUAUUUGGAUAAGGAAUCUAUUCAGGAGAACAAAACUUGCAGGAAAUGGCGACUCCCGUUGAGCCACCAAAUGGAGUUAGAAUUCAGGGGAAGCAUUAUUUUUCUAUGUGGCAAACCUUGUUUGAGAUUGAUACGAAAUAUGUGCCCAUAAAACCUAUUGGCCGAGGAGCCUAUGGAAUUGUGUGCUCCUCUGUGAAUAGAGAAACCAAGGAGAAAGUUGCAAUCAAGAAAAUACACAAUGCUUUUGAAAAUCGUGUUGAUGCACUGAGAACUUUACGUGAACUGAAGCUUCUUCGGCAUCUUCG
RNAcentral lists this unclassified non-coding RNA (699 nucleotides) under Hevea brasiliensis (rubber tree). The record is from RNAcentral. Lineage: Eukaryota; Viridiplantae; Streptophyta; Magnoliopsida; Malpighiales; Euphorbiaceae.